Long non-coding RNA from Onychostoma macrolepis, 269 nucleotides. RefSeq lists it as uncharacterized. NCBI's taxonomy places the organism in Eukaryota, Metazoa, Chordata, Actinopteri, Cypriniformes, Cyprinidae. The transcript has 3 exons. The record is from RefSeq and is a predicted model, not a curated record.
ACGCAAACUCAGAGGAGGAGAUGAAGCCGUAUCCAGAAGAAAGCUCUCCACCUGUUGCUGAGGAACCGCCAGCUGUUGUGAUGGAGAUCCUGCUCCUGAACUGCUGUUGGCUGAACUUCCAGACGAGGAGGCUGGAGAGAAGAGAGAAGUAUUGAUCAACUUCAGUAGUUGGACAAUACAUCUCUCUACUAUGGACAUUAUAUGUGCUGGAUGAUUUCUGGACUCACAGGAUAUGACAUAACUUCUGGACGCGCCUCCUUCAGCACUGC